CCAGACUCCUACGGGAGGCAGCAGUAGGGAAUCUUCGGCAAUGGACGAAAGUCUGACCGAGCAACGCCGCGUGAGUGAAGAAGGUUUUCGGAUCGUAAAACUCUGUUGGUAGAGAAGAACGUUGGUGAGAGUGGAAAGCUCAUCAAGUGACGGUAACUACCCAGAAAGGGACGGCUAACUACGUGCCAGCGGCCGCGGUAAUACGUAGGUCCCGAGCGUUGUCCGGAUUUAUUGGGCGUAAAGCGAGCGCAGGUGGUUUAUUAAGUCUGGUGUAAAAGGCAGUGGCUCAACCAUUGUAUGCAUUGGAAACUGGUAGACUUGAGUGCAGGAGAGGAGAGUGGAAUUCCAUGUGUAGCGGUGAAAUGCGUAGAUAUAUGGAGGAACACCGGUGGCGAAAGCGGCUCUCUGGCCUGUAACUGACACUGAGGCUCGAAAGCGUGGGGAGCAAACAGGAUUAGAUACCCUGGUAGUCCACGCCGUAAACGAUGAGUGCUAGAUGUAGGGAGCUAUAAGUUCUCUGUAUCGCAGCUAACGCAAUAAGCACUCCGCCUGGGGAGUACGACCGCAAGGUUGAAACUCAAAGGAAUUGACGGGGGCCCGCACAAGAAGGGCGAAUUCCAGCAC
RNAcentral lists this ribosomal RNA (624 nucleotides) under uncultured bacterium. RNAcentral's name for it is "bacterial SSU rRNA". It matches the Rfam family "Bacterial small subunit ribosomal RNA", at positions 331 to 947 of the family's 1533-position model. The record is from RNAcentral.